UCUUGAAUUCCCACUGAAUAUAAGUAGGGUUAAGGCUGGUCAGCACCUGGAUGGGAGACCACCUGGGAAGUUUAAGAUUAAGGC
RNAcentral lists this ribosomal RNA (84 nucleotides) under Sinocyclocheilus rhinocerous. Lineage: Eukaryota; Metazoa; Chordata; Actinopteri; Cypriniformes; Cyprinidae. The record is from RNAcentral.